GGAGCUGUGGCGUAGUGGGAAAAGCUGCCACUUGCAGUGCCGGCAUCCCAUAUAGGCCGGGUUCAAGUCCCGGCUGCUCCA
This 81-nucleotide transfer RNA is filed under the name Oryctolagus cuniculus (rabbit). It matches the Rfam family "tRNA". From Rfam's summary of the family: Transfer RNA (tRNA) molecules are approximately 80 nucleotides in length. Their secondary structure includes four short double-helical elements and three loops (D, anti-codon, and T loops). Lineage: Eukaryota; Metazoa; Chordata; Mammalia; Lagomorpha; Leporidae. The record is from Rfam by way of RNAcentral.